GAUGGUUCCGCUGCUAGUCAUCCCCUCGACUCUCCAAAAAGGGGGUGUGCCCGUGACUCUGUGCCCGGGCUGAGGAUGCCCUCCGUCGUCAUCCCUUAUAACCCGUUACCUACCUUCAGACUGGGUCGGUAGGGCGCACGGCCUUCUGCCGGGAGUCCCAACAUUUGCCGAAAACUGCCACUUCUUAUCCGCCCUACGCAGGACAAAACUGCCAUCGGCAACUUAUUCGUGGCCGAUUGAGGCACGGUCGUCGGCGCCAUUAUGCCUCCCACGCUCGCAACAGGCCUAAAUAACCCAAAUUUCCCACGCAUCCGACCCUCCAUUCAGUCGCCACUUUUCGUGUGCGAAUUGCCCACAGAACGGCGUCUAUGAUGAAAAGAACCUACUCCUCCUCCAGUGACCUUGCCUACCACAUCGCCACUUUACGCAUCUAUAGUAGGUCUUGUGGCUAACGCUUCCGUCCACUGACAUGGAAUUAGCUGCGACUCCGUGCUUUCGCACCCCUCGCUUGUCCUAAUCUAUGGGACCAUCAGGUGCGGCAUUUGCUACUCCUGAUCGACAACCCGGAUAUCCCAAGUCACCGUUUCCCUUUGGCAAUUAGGAGGUG
This 607-nucleotide ribosomal RNA is filed under the name uncultured Bacteroidota bacterium. Its description in RNAcentral is "uncultured Bacteroidetes bacterium partial 16S ribosomal RNA". The record is from RNAcentral. Lineage: Bacteria; Pseudomonadati; Bacteroidota.